Long non-coding RNA from Cannabis sativa, 933 nucleotides. RefSeq lists it as uncharacterized. The record is from RefSeq and is a predicted model, not a curated record. NCBI's taxonomy places the organism in Eukaryota, Viridiplantae, Streptophyta, Magnoliopsida, Rosales, Cannabaceae. The transcript is spliced from 2 exons.
UAAUUGAAAUAUUGUUUUAAAUAAAAUAAAAAUUACAACCCUUCUUCUUUAAUAUGUUUUGAAUAUGUUAGUUUAUUUUAACUAAACAAUAUGUCACUACUACAAAAUGCAGAAUUCGCGACAGUCCCAAAAACGCUUUUUUUUUGGGACCGUCGCUAAAAAAAUUAACUGAUUGUUGAAAACCGUCGCCUAUACUAUAUUAUAGGCGACAGUUUUUAACACUAGUAUAGAUUAGGCGACGGUUUAAAAGUGUAGAAAAAAAUUUUAAAAAAAAAGUUAUAAAACUAUGCCCCACGGUUCUAAACCGUCGCAAAUACGGCUAAAAAAUGAAAACUCUCGCGCCUCUCACCAUAAGACAGACAUCAAACCCUCGCAUCUCACUCACUCCCUGUCUCUCACUCCCUCGAUCUCACUCAGUCACUCACUCGGGUCUUUCUCUAUCACCGGCGGUGCACCUCCGCCACUACCGGCGACGCCUGCUGACCCUAUUCGUUCACAAUCACAAUGCCCACCUCUCGUGAGUCAUGUAUCGCACCUGACCUUUGAUAGCGCCAGAAGGGUUUCUGGGUUUGCCCACUGAACUCGAGCUAGAAGUCCCAAGAAACGUCCCUAGCACCAGGGUAAGAGCAACCCGUAUUUAAAUGAUGAGAUGAAUCUUCUCCGUGAUCAAUGGAUUGAAUGCGUCUAAACACAAACGGUGCAACAAGGGCUAUUAUGAUGAUCAAAUUUUUUUUUGUUUAUACUUUACACUACAAUCAAAUACUUUUAUAUAACUAACAAUUAUGUAAGUUAGAGUAAGUUGUUUGCAUAUAUUUCAGUUUCUGUUCAUUUUUAAUUUAUAUUUAUACUUUACCUUAACUAAUUAGUGAUAUUAUAUAAAUUCAUAAAAAUUAAUUAAUGCAUGGAAAAAAGAGUAGAAUUAUUUAUUUUUUU